This 254-nucleotide ribosomal RNA is filed under the name uncultured bacterium. RNAcentral's name for it is "partial 16S ribosomal RNA". It matches the Rfam family "Bacterial small subunit ribosomal RNA", at positions 524 to 776 of the family's 1533-position model. The record is from RNAcentral.
UACGUAGGGUCCAAGCGUUGUCCGGAUUUAUUGGGCGUAAAGAGCUCGUAGGCGGUUCGGUAAGUCGGAUGUGAAAACUCAGGGCUCAACCCGGAGACGCCAUCCGAUACUGCCGUGACUUGAGUCUGGUAGGGGAUCACGGAAUACCUGGUGUAGCGGUGAAAUGCGCAGAUAUCAGGAGGAACACCGGUGGCGAAGGCGGGUCUCUGGGCCGAUACUGACGCUGAGGAUCGAAAGCGUGGGGAGCGAACAGG